AACGCUAGCUACAGGCUUAACACAUGCAAGUCGAGGGGUAACGAGAGAAAAGCUUGCUUUUCUUGUCGACGACCGGCGCACGGGUGAGUAACGCGUAUCCAACCUGCCCACCACUUGGGGAUAACCUUGCGAAAGUAAGACUAAUACCCAAUGACGUCUCUAGAAGACAUCUGAAGGAGAUUAAAGAUUUAUCGGUGAUGGAUGGGGAUGCGUCUGAUUAGCUUGUUGGCGGGGUAACGGCCCACCAAGGCGACGAUCAGUAGGGGUUCUGAGAGGAAGGUCCCCCACAUUGGAACUGAGACACGGUCCAAACUCCUACGGGAGGCAGCAGUGAGGAAUAUUGGUCAAUGGACGAGAGUCUGAACCAGCCAAGUAGCGUGCAGGAUGACGGCCCUAUGGGUUGUAAACUGCUUUUAUAAGGGAAUAAAGUGAGUCUCGUGAGACUUUUUGCAUGUACCUUAUGAAUAAGGACCGGCUAAUUCCGUGCCAGCAGCCGCGGUAAUACGGAGGAUCCGAGCGUUAUCCGGAUUUAUUGGGUUUAAAGGGAGCGUAGGCGGACGCUUAAGUCAGUUGUGAAAGUUUGCGGCUCAACCGUAUAAUUGCAGUUGAUACUGGGUGUCUUGAGUACAGUAGAGGCAGGCGGAAUUCGUGGUGUAGCGGUGAAAUGCUUAGAUAUCACGAAGAACUCCGAUUG
RNAcentral lists this ribosomal RNA (694 nucleotides) under uncultured bacterium. RNAcentral's name for it is "bacterial SSU rRNA". It matches the Rfam family "Bacterial small subunit ribosomal RNA", at positions 32 to 715 of the family's 1533-position model. The record is from RNAcentral.